Molecule: ribosomal RNA, 522 nt
Filed under: uncultured bacterium
Lineage: Bacteria
Description: partial 16S ribosomal RNA
Rfam family: Bacterial small subunit ribosomal RNA
Source: RNAcentral
GACGAACGCUGGCGGCGCGCUUAAUACAUGCAAGUCGAGCGCAGGAAGCCAUCUGAACCCUUCGGGGGGACGACGGUGGAAUGAGCGGCGGACGGGUGAGUAGCACGUAAAGAACCUGCCCAUAGGUCUGGGAUAACCACGAGAAAUCGGGGCUAAUACCGGAUGUGUCAGCGGACCGCAUGGUCCGCUGAUGAAAGGCGCUCCGGCGUCGCCCAUGGAUGGCUUUGCGGUGCAUUAGCUAGUUGGUGGGGUAACGGCCCACCAAGGCGACGAUGCAUAGCCGACCUGAGAGGGUGAUCGGCCACACUGGGACUGAGACACGGCCCAGACUCCUACGGGAGGCAGCAGUAGGGAAUCUUCCACAAUGGACGAAAGUCUGAUGGAGCAACGCCGCGUACGAUGAAGGCUUUCGGGUCGUAAAGUUCUGUUGUAAGGGAAGAACAAGUGCCGCAGGCAAUGGCGGCACCUUGACGGUACCUUGCGAGAAAGCCACGGCUAACUACGUGCCAGCCGCCGCAGUAA